CACGUAGGGUGCGAGCGUUGUCCGGAAUUAUUGGGCGUAAAGAGCUCGUAGGCGGUGUGUCGCGUCGGCCGUGAAAACCUGCAGUUUAACUGUGGGCUUGCGGUCGAUACGGGCAUCACUGGAGUUCGGCAGGGGAGACUGGAAUUCCUGGUGUAGCGGUGAAAUGCGCAGAUAUCAGGAGGAACACCGGUGGCGAAGGCGGGUCUCUGGGCCGAUACUGACGCUGAGGAGCGAAAGCGUGGGGAGCGAACAGG
RNAcentral lists this ribosomal RNA (254 nucleotides) under uncultured bacterium. RNAcentral describes it as "partial 16S ribosomal RNA". It matches the Rfam family "Bacterial small subunit ribosomal RNA", at positions 524 to 776 of the family's 1533-position model. The record is from RNAcentral.